RNAcentral lists this ribosomal RNA (752 nucleotides) under Natronoarchaeum sp. RNAcentral's name for it is "bacterial SSU rRNA". It matches the Rfam family "Archaeal small subunit ribosomal RNA", at positions 52 to 805 of the family's 1478-position model. The record is from RNAcentral. Lineage: Archaea; Methanobacteriati; Methanobacteriota; Halobacteria; Halobacteriales; Natronoarchaeaceae.
UGCUAGUCGCACGAGCUUAGACUCGUGGCAGAUAGCUCAGUAACACGUGGCCAAACAACCCUCUGGACGAGCAUACCCUCGGGAAACUGAGGCUAAUACUCGAUACUACUCGACGCCUGGAACGGCCCGAGAUCCAAAUGCUCCGGCGCCAGAGGCUGUGGCUGCGGCCGAUUAGGUAGACGGUGGGGUAACGGCCCACCGUGCCCAUAAUCGGUACGGGUUGUGAGAGCAAGAGCCCGGAGACGGUAUCUGAGACAAGAUACCGGGCCCUACGGGGCGCAGCAGGCGCGAAACCUUUACACUGCACGACAGUGCGAUAAGGGGAUCCCCAGUGCGAGGGCAUACAGUCCUCGCUUUUCACCACCGUAAGGUGGUGGUGGAACAAGAGCUGGGCAAGACCGGUGCCAGCCGCCGCGGUAAUACCGGCAGCUCGAGUGAUGGCCGUUCUUAUUGGGCCUAAAGCGUCCGUAGCCGGCCACAUAAGUUCGUCGGGAAAUCCACAUGCUCAACAUGUGGGCGUCCGGCGAAACCUGUGUGGCUUGGGACCGGACGGCCCAGAGGGUACGGCCGGGGUAGGAGUGAAAUCCUGUAAUCCCGGCCGGACCACCGGUGGCGAAAGCGCUCUGGGAGGACGGAUCCGACGGUGAGGGACGAAAGCCAGGGUCACGAACCGGAUUAGAUACCCGGGUAGUCCUGGCUGUAAACGAUGCCCGUUAGGUGUGGCACAGGCUACGAGCCUGUGCUGUGCCGCA